GGGAAAAAAUGUUACUUUUAAGUGAUCUGCUAUUCGAUAAUUUAAUUCAUACUUCGAAAUUUUGACGGAUUAAUUAAGCAGCUUAAGACUUAUAUUGUCAUUUAUGAUUAAAUGUUUAGAAUGGAACAAGAGGCAAAACCACCCACAGGAAUCACCAACAGAACUAUAACGUAAACUUUUAGAGAGUAAUAUACCAACCUCACCAGCCAAGCGCCA
RNAcentral lists this long non-coding RNA (216 nucleotides) under Elaeis guineensis (African oil palm). Its description in RNAcentral is "long non-coding RNA (EGUI_LNC018593)". Lineage: Eukaryota; Viridiplantae; Streptophyta; Magnoliopsida; Arecales; Arecaceae. The record is from RNAcentral.